UCCUUUACGUGUUCUUUGAUGAUAUCUUGAUUUAGUCAAGAUAAAGACUUUCACAUUGACCAUCUUCAAAAGGUUUUAACUUGUAAUAAUUUUAUUGUCAAGAUGUCAUGUGUAGUUUUGCAAACAACUCAUUGCUUAUCUUGGUCACAUCGUUUCUGCAUACCCAAAAAAAUAAAGGAUAUGGUGGAUUGGCCAAAGCCAUCCUCGCUUUGAGGAUUCUUGUUGAAAGUUUACUAUGUUGGUGGCUCUUAUAACUGAACUCUCAUAAAGAUUGCUCUGAUUGGGAAGAAAAGAGAAGUGGCGGACCAGACGUUCUUCACACUUAAUUACAAAAGCUCUGAUCACCUGAGCACCAACCUUUUCAAUGUACUCCAAUUUGGUUGGUUGUUUGCUCAUGAUGUGGUUGUUGAUGAGGGAGAUUUCCAUUGCUCAUCCCUGAUCUAUGUAAUGAUCGAAAUGGUGCAAGAGAGGAGUGGAAGAUGACGAAUCUCGAGAUCAUCUCACUCUGGUUGCCUUCAGGUUUGUUAGCCUCCUAUAAGCCCGUUGUUUGGAAGAUGCCCACGUGUGCUCAGGAGUUAGCACUUACUCUAUAAGAGCUUGCAAUCAGGUAGUGCAUCUUCUAACCCAGUCAGCACGAUGUGUUCUCUACCUUUUUUUUGGCAUGUUUGUAAUUUUUAAAUUGCCAUAUCUUAACAUGUUUACCAAACGAGCUCUUAUUGUGAACAAAUCAAAAUGACAAAAAGACCAUAAUUUUCGUAAAGAUGGGGAGUAUAAUGUAUUAUUAGGGUUGUCGAACAGUUCAAAUCCAGUUACCUAUACAAAAAUUUUGGUUCUCAAAUUGAAAUUCGCCAAAAAUUAAUAACUGAACACGAACAAUUCUGAAUGUUCAAUUAUUGGCCAAUAACCGCAUCAGUUAACCGAUUCAGUUUUUGAGUAAUCCAAAAUAAUAAUAAUAAAAUGUACAAUUUUUUUAAUUUAAAUACUAAAAAUAAUUAAAUAUUUAAAAUUAAAAAACUUCACAAAUCUAAUUAUACAUAUGCAUGUUCCAGAUGCAAUUACGAACAACAAUUCAAAUGUCAGACAUAAAUUCAAUAUUUGACAAACAACAAUUUAAUUAUGCAAAUAAAUUGUUUACAUGCAAAAUUAAAAAACAAAAGAGUAAACUUUUAAUUUGUGAGUGACAUGAUUGGAUGGCUAGUUCCCUCCCACAAUACAUUAUUCUUUUCCUUUUUAUUUUUCAUAUUUCUAUUUUUCUGUCAAAUCAAAAAUUUAUGAUAGAGCAUGCCACACCUAGCAUUAAAUCCUUAUCAUGUCGUGGCUUUUUCCCCCCUUUAUGCUACUGUUUCUUGAAAUUAAUUCCCUUUACA
This is a long non-coding RNA of Salvia miltiorrhiza (redroot sage), 1367 nucleotides long. RefSeq lists it as uncharacterized. Lineage: Eukaryota; Viridiplantae; Streptophyta; Magnoliopsida; Lamiales; Lamiaceae. The transcript is spliced from 2 exons. The record is from RefSeq and is a predicted model, not a curated record.